GACUCGACUCUCUUUUAUUGCAUGUGCAUUACCCUUUUCAAACGCUGCGUUUACAAAGAUGAACUGUAAUUUUCGUCCUUUUAUCAGAAUCAUUGUUCCCUGCGUUACGGAAAUAAAAAUAUCCAUCAACAACACCAUUAUUUCUUUGUCAAUACCUGAAAUGUUCGGCUACAUAAACCCUCCAAAAAGUUAUCUUGCACAGUCCCCUUUUUCUUUAUCAAGAUUCACUUAAGUUUCUGUGGUUUUGGUACUUCCCAAAUUCUCUGAUUAUUUUGAUAAUUGUUGUAAUUCAUAUUUUUGUUGUUUUAUUUGGUGCUUUUCCAGAAGCUUUUCUAAGAUCGAUUUUGUUGUUGUUGGUGCACCACGGAUUUUCCAAUCAGAGAAAAGCUUCAAUGUCAGAACUACACAAAACUCUUGGAUGAUAUACUUCGAGGAGGAGUUUCUGGAGCUAGAAUCAUCAGUCGCUUUAUCUAACCAACCACUGCUACUAACCCUUUGGAGGAGGCAUGCACGCAGGAUUACUUGCUCCAAUUGUUACCUGUACUCGCACAUUUGAAUGCAAAUGGGCAAGGCCGUGCCUAAUAGGUCUACAUCAAAAUGCUUUUCUUUAUUAUUAGAAUCUAAAUUUGUCGAUAUCUGUCGAGAACGAGAAGGUAAAGAGCCCCUAUCGAUUUGGUGAUCCCAGUGGCGGAGCUGGAAAAUAAGGAUGGGGUGGCUUGAAAACUAAUUGGAUUGGUGGGGGUGGCUUGAACCUAUAUUUUAGGCAUGAUUGUUUUUUACCAAAUUCAAAAGCACUGUAAAAUUUUGUUUUUUUUUUUUACUUUGGGCUGGCUUACCUACCUGUGCAAAACGUAUCAAUAAAAGGAAAAGAAAUGUCUAGCGAGGGAUGCUGAGCUAUUCGUCUUAACCACGUUGUUUUCUUUUAAUGGAGUUACAUCAAAGACCAAUCAGUUGAAUUAUUUUCUUUGUUUUUUGAA
Long non-coding RNA from Papaver somniferum (opium poppy), 977 nucleotides. RefSeq lists it as uncharacterized. The transcript has 3 exons. The record is from RefSeq and is a predicted model, not a curated record. Lineage: Eukaryota; Viridiplantae; Streptophyta; Magnoliopsida; Ranunculales; Papaveraceae.